This 253-nucleotide ribosomal RNA is filed under the name uncultured bacterium. RNAcentral's name for it is "partial 16S ribosomal RNA". It matches the Rfam family "Bacterial small subunit ribosomal RNA", at positions 524 to 776 of the family's 1533-position model. The record is from RNAcentral.
UACGAAGGGGGCUAGCGUUGUUCGGAAUUACUGGGCGUAAAGAGCACGUAGGCGGCUUAUCAAGUUGGGGGUGAAAUCCCAGAGCUCAACUCCGGAACUGCCUUCAAAACUGGUAGGCUCGAGUCCGGAAGAGGUGCGUGGAAUUCCCAGUGUAGAGGUGAAAUUCGUAGAUAUUGGGAAGAACACCGGUGGCGAAGGCGGCGCCCUGGUCCGGUACUGACGCUGAGGCGCGAAAGCGUGGGGAGCAAACAGG